AUUGAACGCUGGCGGCAUGCUUUACACAUGCAAGUCGAACGGUAACAGGCCGCAAGGUGCUGACGAGUGGCGCACGGGUGAGUAAUGCAUCGGAACGUGCCCAGUCGUGGGGGAUAACUACUCGAAAGAGUAGCUAAUACCGCAUACGAUCUAUGGAUGACAGCGGGGGACCGUAAGGCCUCGCGCGAUUGGAGCGGCCGAUGUCAGAUUAGGUAGUUGGUGGGGUAAAGGCUCACCAAGCCAACGAUCUGUAGCUGGUCUGAGAGGACGACCAGCCACACUGGGACUGAGACACGGCCCAGACUCCUACGGGAGGCAGCAGUGGGGAAUUUUGGACAAUGGGCGCAAGCCUGAUCCAGCAAUGCCGCGUGCAGGAAGAAGGCCUUCGGGUUGUAAACUGCUUUUGUACGGAACGAAACGGCUCUGGUUAAUACCCGGGGCUAAUGACGGUACCGUAAGAAUAAGCACCGGCUAACUACGUG
Molecule: ribosomal RNA, 482 nt
Filed under: uncultured bacterium
Lineage: Bacteria
Description: partial 16S ribosomal RNA
Rfam family: Bacterial small subunit ribosomal RNA
Source: RNAcentral